RNAcentral lists this long non-coding RNA (596 nucleotides) under Vitis vinifera (wine grape). Its description in RNAcentral is "long non-coding RNA (VVIN_LNC001919)". The record is from RNAcentral. Lineage: Eukaryota; Viridiplantae; Streptophyta; Magnoliopsida; Vitales; Vitaceae.
UCUAUUCCUGGGUGCUGGGAGCCUGAUACACUGUGGGAAGUCUUAUUAAGCUUUAUUCAGUUGACCAAAUAAAUAAAUUUUGUUUUCCUUACAAGAACCAAUUAGUUAAAGAAAUACAUGUUUUUAGACUCUGAAUGAAAUGGCUUUGAUAUGAUCAGAUAUUUUUUCUGAUGUGAAUCCUUUCUUUUCUCUUUAUGCAUCUUUUGAAAUGAUUUUAUGAUGGCUAGCAUUCUCUUGAAGAAGUUUUCCCUUACAGUGGUCUCUUUGAAGAGGUUGUAGAAUGGUUUCUUGGUUAUUAGCUUAACAUCAUAUUGCAAAAUUGUUGUGCUGUACACGUGAAUUGACCUCUAAAAAAUUAUCUCCCCAUUAGUCUAUCAAAGAUCUUCUAUCUUGUGAGUUGGUACAAGGUAUUUCCUACAGCCAGUGAGUUGUAGCAUGGAGGGUUUGAAACAUGAUAUCUAAACUCACAACUUAUGUAUGAAGAGCUCAGUUGCAUAAGAGUGCGUUUGGUAUUGAUUGUAGAAAAUGUUUUUAACCUUUCCCCAACACUUGAAUGAUAACAAAUUUCAAGUUUUAAAAAGACUAAAAACAUUUCC